This 440-nucleotide ribosomal RNA is filed under the name uncultured bacterium. RNAcentral's name for it is "partial 16S ribosomal RNA". It matches the Rfam family "Bacterial small subunit ribosomal RNA", at positions 338 to 795 of the family's 1533-position model. The record is from RNAcentral.
CCUACGGGAGGCAGCAGUAGGGAAUAUUGCUCAAUGGGGGAAACCCUGAAGCAGCAACGCCGCGUGGAGGAUGAAGGUUUUCGGAUUGUAAACUCCUUUUGUUAGAGAAGAUAAUGACGGUAUCUAACGAAUAAGCACCGGCUAACUCCGUGCCAGCAGCCGCGGUAAUACGGAGGGUGCAAGCGUUACUCGGAAUCACUGGGCGUAAAGAGCGCGUAGGCGGGAUAGCAAGUCAGAUGUGAAAUCCUAGGGCUUAACCAUAGAACUGCAGUUGAAACUGUUAUUCUAGAGUAUGGGAGAGGUAGGUGGAAUUCUUGGUGUAGGGGUAAAAUCCGUAGAGAUCAAGAGGAAUACUCAUUGCGAAGGCGACCUGCUAGAACAUAACUGACGCUGAUGUGCGAAAGCGUGGGGAGCAAACAGGAUUAGAUACCCGGGUAGUC